GAUAAACGCUGGCGGCAUGCCUAAUACAUGCAAGUCGAACGGACGUAGCAAUACGUUAGUGGCGAACGGGUGAGUAACACGUAAGUAACCGACCUUAAAGACGAGGAUACCCUUUGGAAACGAAGGUUAAAACUGGAUAGGACGGGAGGACAAAAGCCUUCCCGUUUAAAGGUGCAACUGCACUACUUUAAGCCGGGCUUGCGGCGCAUUAGCUAGUUGGUGAGAUAAUAGCCCACCAAGGCAACGAUGCGUAGCUGCGCUGAGAGGCGGAACAGCCACACUGGGACUGAGACACGGCCCAGACUCCUACGGGAGGCAG
This 319-nucleotide ribosomal RNA is filed under the name uncultured Chloroflexota bacterium. Its description in RNAcentral is "bacterial SSU rRNA". It matches the Rfam family "Bacterial small subunit ribosomal RNA", at positions 28 to 351 of the family's 1533-position model. Lineage: Bacteria; Bacillati; Chloroflexota. The record is from RNAcentral.